RNAcentral lists this ribosomal RNA (805 nucleotides) under Occidozyga cf. laevis KU 303510. RNAcentral's name for it is "partial large subunit ribosomal RNA". The stretch from base 201 to 805 matches the Rfam family "Archaeal large subunit ribosomal RNA", at positions 1423 to 2638 of the family's 2987-position model. Lineage: Eukaryota; Metazoa; Chordata; Amphibia; Anura; Dicroglossidae. The record is from RNAcentral.
CUGACAUCACCAACCCAUCACCAGUAUUGAAUAAAUUCAUAACCUAUGAAAAUUAUUAUGCUAGAACUAGUAACAAGAAAAUGAAUUUCUCCAAAGUGUAAGCAUAAACCAAAAUGGACACCACACUGGUAAUUAACGACUAUGAACCCAUUAUAGUAACAUAACUAGAAAAUCCUAUAUCUAACCCCGUUAACCUUACACAAGAACUCUCCUGGAAAGAUUAAAAGGAAGAGAAGGAACUCGGCAAAUCUUAACCCCGCCUGUUUACCAAAAACAUCGCCUCUUGGUCAGAUAUAAGAGGUCUAGCCUGCCCAGUGUUUUAGUUUUAAUCAACGGCCGCGUGAUUUAAACGCGCGAAGGUAGCAUAAUAAUUUGUUCUUUAAAUGAGGACUUGUAUCAAUGGCAUCACGAGGGUUAUACUGUCUCCUCUCCCCAAUCAGUGAAACUAAUCUCCUUGUGAAAAAGAAAAGAGGAGAGCAUAAGACGAGAAGACCCCAUGGAGCUUAAAACACGGCAACAACCCUAAUACCAUAACCAAUUUAAUUUUAAGCCCUGUAUGCUAGUUUUAGGUUGGGGUGACCACGGAGUAAAGCAAAACCUCCACAACGAAAAGGGGUUAUACCCUUAUCUAAGAGAUACUUCUCUAAGAAUUAUUAAAAAUAACGUCCAAUGAUCCGACUAUCGACCAAUGAACCAAGUUACCCUGGGGAUAACAGCGCAAUCCACCCUGAGAGCCCCUAUCGACGAGUGGGCUUACGACCUCGAUGUUGGAUCAGGAUAUCCCAGUGGUGCAGCCGCUACUAAA